GGGGAGAAUCCGAAUGAAGAGGAAGUUCCAAGACAAAGGGUAAUUAGGAGGCCACGAUCCCAUUCAGCCGGUUUGUUUGGAAAAGUCCCUCCGAAACCAAUCCGUAUCAAUAUUUCAGGAGGACAUAUUGAAGAUGAUCAAGCAAAGAAGACUUUGCUUGCUAUUGUUCGUGAAAGGUGGCCCGUUGGACAUUACACGUUCACCGACAUUGUUGAAUAUGAUGAUGAAUGGCUAAAACACGUAGUCGAGGAAUUUAAUUUAUAUUUCAAGCAACAAAAGGGACAAAGCCGGUCCGAAGCAAAAAAUAUAAUUGAGAAGCAUAUCAAGAACACAAUAAAGAGGACGUUGAAUGAGCUCAAGACAAAUAUUGAGCAAAAAUCAAAGGAAAGCGGAAAAUCAAAAUUGAG
Molecule: long non-coding RNA, 407 nt
Organism: Daucus carota subsp. sativus
Lineage: Eukaryota; Viridiplantae; Streptophyta; Magnoliopsida; Apiales; Apiaceae
Exons: 3
Source: RefSeq, a predicted model, not a curated record